This 291-nucleotide unclassified non-coding RNA is filed under the name Hevea brasiliensis (rubber tree). The record is from RNAcentral. Lineage: Eukaryota; Viridiplantae; Streptophyta; Magnoliopsida; Malpighiales; Euphorbiaceae.
GAAAUUGUCCCGGGUAGGUCCACUAAGGUGGUAAAAUUUUGUACCAAAAGGUUUUAGGGUGCUGAUUUCUCAUCCACAUCACCCCCUCCUUGAUUCUGCAGUGAAUCCUUUGCUCUUGCAGAACUACUAUUUUUUGUCUUUUUAGGUCAAUCCAUUUACACUAGAGGGGCUCUUUCUUUCCUUUCUCCUCAGAAAGAUUUACGUACUUUCUGCAACAUAAUUUACAAGGACGAACUCCUUUUGCAUAUACAUCAAUGCAGAGAAUUUAAUAAAGUCUCUUCGGUGAACUAC